CUUUGUUCUUCCCGCUAUUUGCAUGAGGAUUAUCUAAUGACGCAGCAAGGCUCGCCACAACGUGACCGUCGCCAUUUUUCUGUUUUUAUUCUAUCUCUGCCAUGUGAUAGAUGGGGGGGAGGGGGGGAGGUUGGAAAAGGGAGAGAGACAGGAUUAAAAAAAAAAAAAAAACUUCCGGGUCUCAUGACCGGGAAGGGAGAAAAACAAAAGGGAGACGAGACACAACUCCAGGGGAAGGGUGUGUGUGCGUGUGUGCGUGUGUGCGCGCCCUCCCCGCCUCUGCUCCGGCGGCCGGCCAGGAGCAUCCUCCCACCUGGGGACCCGGAUCGCACCGCUCGCCGUGGCGGUCGCCUGUGCCGGCCCCACGCCCGCCGCCAACGCUCUGCGAAGCUGUCAGCUCGGUCCCUCCUCGUCGCCUCCACUUGCCGGUCCACCCCAGAGCUCGCGCUCGCGUUCCGGGACGGGCAGGCCGUUCUGGGUCCCGUGUUCACGGUGGCUGAAGAGACAGUGUGUUUGGGAGCUCUGCCACGUUUUUCGAGCAGAAAAGGACUUUGGAGUCCACUAGCGUUCCUCACUGUACAGGCAGAGAGACCGAGGCCCCGAGUGGUGAUGGAGAUGCUUGGGGACCCCAUUUCGUUGGAGAGGAGCUGGGCUUGAGCUCACCUGGUCUCUCUGU
Molecule: long non-coding RNA, 676 nt
Organism: Equus caballus (horse)
Lineage: Eukaryota; Metazoa; Chordata; Mammalia; Perissodactyla; Equidae
Source: Ensembl